Long non-coding RNA from Ornithodoros turicata, 2396 nucleotides. RefSeq lists it as uncharacterized. The record is from RefSeq and is a predicted model, not a curated record. NCBI's taxonomy places the organism in Eukaryota, Metazoa, Arthropoda, Arachnida, Ixodida, Argasidae. The transcript is spliced from 4 exons.
ACGAUCGUACAUAAGCGAACAGCUGUUAUGUUGUUGCUAAGCCGGAAACAAAGCAUGUGAAUGUUUUUUUUGGCACAGCGUCGUUUGGAAAGUGCACUUCCUUGUUCUGACCUUGCCUUUUAUGGGCUGGAGCGAUAUGAUUCGUGAAUAUGCCACGGCGAAGUUGUCGAAGAUGCGACAGUGCUACGCUGUUAGAACAAUUCAUCGGAGCAUUCAAGUGUUACCUAUUAUAAGCUUCGAAAAGACCAAGCAGCGCGAAGCUCUUGGCUGACAGUGGUGCCUGCUAAUUUCCACUGCAAGGAUUUCGUCCACGAAUGUUAUCAUAGGUUACGCGUGACUCCAGAGGCAAUUUGGAAUCUCGGCACGAAAUCGUCUGAUGAAAAUCUGAGGUGCCCGACGUAUAACAUUUUGAACGUGCCACGGAGGAUCAAGGCAAAAAACGAGAGCAAAAAAAGGUGCACGCUGAAGGCGGAAAUGAAGCAUGAUCUGGCUUGCAUCUGGUCAUGAAGAAAUUGCUGACACGUUAGUUGCAGUCCACCUCCACCAACAGGGCGGAAAACAAAGGUCGCCAUUCCGAUUAGCUGCUAUCUCCCAGUUCAAGCACUUUUGUGUCUGGACACUGGUUCCUGUGGAUGGGGUGUUACAAGCUUCACUGUCUGAUAUAGAAGACUCAGAACGGUUAAUUUGGAUCAGGUCAGGUACGUUUCAUUUAGACAUGGCAAACAUAAAGUGGUGUUUCUCAACACAACUUAGCAGUGGUCUUCAUGCAUUACUGCUACGAAACCUGCACAUUAUCCAUGAUGUAAAACCCCAAGACUAGGGAACACGAAGGGACAGACACAAACAUGUCCCUUUGUGUUCCCUAGUCUCGGGGUUUUACAUAUGCAUCAUCUUCACCAGCUCGCUUGCUUGCAGCCAUUUUUUCUGCACAUUAUGUUCACUCUACUUUUAUCGUGUGCUAUAUAAUCUUGUUCAAGUUCCGUCAAACAACCUGUAAUGCUAUAAAAAAAUUCAGUACACUGUUUUGUGGGUUGAAUGGUAGUGCAUGAAUGCAGGAAGGAAACUGUCAUGUUAUGGCAAGUGUUUACGUAUCGUACAUUUAACUACUAAUUCUAUUGGUUAGCUUUCGCUGGCGUAUCAUGUCAAGCCGUGUUAUAUUAAUUUGGAACAUGUUCUUCUUAGUAGCCAGAGCAGCUGAUACACACAGAGAACAUAGCCCGUGUGUGUUUGUCUUUUCCACCGCAGCCCUUGGGUUUCCUCCCUGAUGGCUACACUUGUCAGGGAUAGGUUUCAGAACCGGUAGUUCCCGCCAAGUGUGAAUUGCUUUUCAGGGGAUCAUCACGCUGGCAGAUGAAACAUAUGGUUUAAAUUAUUUGCAGGACAGGAAUUGCGUAGCUUCACACAAAUACUACUACUACGAAGUAAGAGUGGUUUCAAAUCUAGCUUUUUUGUGUUCCUGACAUUAUCGCACGAGAUGUAGUAUCCACUAUGAUCCUUUAUGUGGGGGGUAUGUACAGUGCAAUCAACAGAUGCUAUUUACAAAUCUGUGUUUUCUACUGUGUUGAAAUGGGGUAGUUUGUAUCUGAGAGCCAUAGUGAAACACAGGCCCUCGAGAAACAUGGCAACACAUUGCAGGGACUCUGGAUGCUGCCUAAAUUUCUAGAACACACAGCUCAAGGCAGCGGUUAAAUAACAAGUGGUUAGAGAAAUCCAAGAUAGUUGCAUCCGUAAGCAGUCCGCUGUUGGAUUUGCUAGAGAUACGUUAUCUCAAAGGGAACGCACGGACACACUCAGAAUGAUACUAGCGCUGCCUGUGAAAUAGAAUGAGGAGAGGGGAAGAUAUAUAACCCUUUUUCUUGUCUGUUAUUCUAUUGGUUAAAUUGUCAUUUUCUUAGCAGCAUAUGUGUGUAUAUUCCAGAGUUUGCUAAUAAAUAUAUCAGUUUAGAGCUAGCAGUCGCAUUGUAGAUGUCUCAUCCUGUCCUUGGUUGCUUGUGAUUCACUAUGGCCAUGCUUGCUAUUGCAAAAACAGAAAACCAAAAAAGGCAAUAGAAAAACACGGAAAGAGCGACCUAAAAAGCUGCCUGUUCUAGUGCUCACAUGGAAGCAAUGCAAUGAGGUAACAUGUUCCAUUCAUGAACUGUGCAUAGUACUAGUACAUAUCACAAAGGCAACCGAUUAUUCAGAUUUUUCUUAAAGUGCUUUGUUUUUUUUUAGCUUUAUUUGCACAGUCUAUUAUUGGAGCUUUAUGUGAUUCCCCUCUUCAGAUACUUUAAGAUUGCUGAUGCUGUGCAGUUUGUUAAUUUUGAAACUGUACUGUGCUGAGGUACAACAACAGAAUUGUCAUAUCUGCAUUUGAGCACAUAGGAAUAAUUUGUAAGUAACUUAUUGACAUUAAU